CUGGCGGCAGUAGCGCGGUGGUCCCACCUGACCCCAUGCCGAACUCAGAAGUGAAACGCCGUAGCGCCGAUGGUAGUGUGGGGUCUCCCCAUGCGAGAGUAGGGAACUGCCAG
Molecule: ribosomal RNA, 113 nt
Filed under: Escherichia coli
Lineage: Bacteria; Pseudomonadati; Pseudomonadota; Gammaproteobacteria; Enterobacterales; Enterobacteriaceae
Also listed under: 13 other names
Source: RNAcentral